Molecule: ribosomal RNA, 346 nt
Filed under: Dolichomastix tenuilepis
Lineage: Eukaryota; Viridiplantae; Chlorophyta; Mamiellophyceae; Dolichomastigales; Dolichomastigaceae
Description: partial Bacterial small subunit ribosomal RNA
Rfam family: Bacterial small subunit ribosomal RNA
Source: RNAcentral
CUGAAGAGUUUGAUCAUGGCUCAGAUUGAACGCUGGCGGCAGGCCUAACACAUGCAAGUCGAACGGUAACAGGAUGUGCUUGCACAUCGCUGACGAGUGGCGGACGGGUGAGUAAUGCUUGGGAACUUGCCUUUGCGAGGGGGAUAACAGUUGGAAACGACUGCUAAUACCGCAUAAUGUCUUCGGACCAAACGGGGCUUAGGCUCCGGCGCAAAGAGAGGCCCAAGUGAGAUUAGCUAGUUGGUAAGGUAACGGCUUACCAAGACAGCGAUAGAUAGGGGCCCUGAGAGGGGGAUCCCCCACACUGGUACUGAGACACGGACCAGACUCCUACGGGAGGCAGCAG